UAAUCAUCAACGUCGAAAGCUUUCGUCUUUCGAUGCUUGGAAUCUGGAGUCGUGCGAGUGCUCUCUUCAUCGAGCUGCCUCGCUCCUCUCGAAAUGCAUCGGUGACCGUCUCAUUCGCGGAUCCUCCGGCGUGAUAAUUAUCUACGUCGCCGCGUAUCCGCGUCCGACAGACGUCGCCUAUAACCGUCCCUCGUCGGACAAUCUUAUGACGA
RNAcentral lists this unclassified non-coding RNA (212 nucleotides) under uncultured fungus. RNAcentral's name for it is "sequence contains ITS2". The record is from RNAcentral. Lineage: Eukaryota; Fungi.